AUGUAAUAUUGCUUACAUGCGGAAUCCAAAAAAAAAUGAUACAAAUGAACUUAUUUAUAAAACAGGGUCAGGUGGUUUUACAUAAUGUAAUUAACUCACACAGUAGAGGAUUGUUCUGCAAUGCGGCACCGGCACCAACACCCUGAUCCAUCAGUGCUUCAAGCAAAGGGAGCUGCCUGACCCUCGGGAAUGACAGGCACUGCUUGGACGUUCAGACAGCUUGCUCUGGCUUUAGACAAUGACAAGUGUACGUCGAACCCAGCAGAACGGCUGAUCCAAAUCUCCUACUCUGGUGACUCCUGCUGUCCACUGUGCUGUGUCAAUGGCACCUUUGGGAAGAAGAAAGGAGUGGGGAGAGUCCAAGAGGAACAGAGACUGCUUCUGAUGCCCCAACGUCAUCUUCUCCUCCCAUCCCAGUCACUAGAGGCCCGAGCGUGCUCCGGCAGCCAUUCCUGAUCUGAGUUAGGAUUCUUCUACCUUCCUGAAAAAGUGAGAUGGAAACGCCCAGGAACCUCCUGCUUCCUCUGGGGCUUCGUCAGGUGCUCCCACCUGGGGGCAGUCCCUGUCCUUCUCAUAGUCAAAGACCGUGAACAACUUGAUGGCAGGAACCAGGCCACUCGGCCGACGCAUGUGGACCACACAAUGUGGUCCACUUGGCCGCUUUGCUGAAGGAGGAGCUGAGUCCCCAAGGGCCCCCCCCCAGGAGAUGAAAGUUGUUUCACAUUUCUGUCUGACUUCCUAUUAUCAAAAAAUGCCCCCAACCUGUAAAAUGCUGUUAAAAAUGCUCUAGCAGACCCUGGCGGACACCAAUUAACCUCAGAAACAGAAACAGGAAAGGAAACGGCACUGCAGCAGGAUGGAUCUCCCUGUCCCCUCCCCAUCAGUGAUUUGGAGAUGAAGAGGGCACAUUUUGCUCGCUUAUUGAAUGUGUAGCAAAAAAAAUGAGUAAAAGCUGAACAGAACAGUCA
This is a long non-coding RNA of Aethalodelphis obliquidens (Pacific white-sided dolphin), 968 nucleotides long. RefSeq lists it as uncharacterized. The transcript has 2 exons. The record is from RefSeq and is a predicted model, not a curated record. NCBI's taxonomy places the organism in Eukaryota, Metazoa, Chordata, Mammalia, Artiodactyla, Delphinidae.